Molecule: ribosomal RNA, 406 nt
Filed under: uncultured bacterium
Lineage: Bacteria
Description: partial 16S ribosomal RNA
Rfam family: Bacterial small subunit ribosomal RNA
Source: RNAcentral
AUUGAACGCUGGCGGCAGGCCUAACACAUGCAAGUCGAACGAGUGGCGGACGGGUGAGUAAUGUCUGGGAAACUGCCUGAGGGAUGGGGUUAACUACUGGAUACUGUAGCUACUACCGCAUACCAUCGGAUGUGCCCAGAUGGGAUUAGAGAGUAGGUGGGGUAAAGGCUCACCUAGGCGGCGAUCCCUAGCUGUUCUGAGAGGAUGACCAGCCACACUGGAACUGAGAAAGGGUCCAGACUCCUACGGGAGGCAGCAGUGGGGAAUGUUGCACAAUGGGCGCAAGCCUGAUGCAGCCAUGCCGCGUGUAUGAAGAAGGCCUUCGGGUUGUAAAGUACUUUCAGCGGGGAGGCGUUACCCGCAGAAGAAGCACCGGCUAACUCCGUGCCAGCAGCCGCGGUAAUAC